GACGAACGCUGGCGGCGUGCCUAACACAUGCAAGUCGAACGGAGAUACGAUUUCGGUUGUAUCCUAGUGGCGAACGGGUGAGUAACGCGUGAACAACCUGACUCUUAGAGGGGGAUAACACUCGGAAACGGGUGCUAAUACCGCAUAAGACCACGACCCGGCAUCGGGAUGAGGUCAAAGGAGCAAUCCGCUGAGAGAGGGGUUCGCGUCCCAUUAGAUAGAUGGCGGGGUAACGGCCCACCAUGUCAACGAUGGGUAGCCGAGCUGAGAGGCUGAUCGGCCACACUGGAACUGAGACACGGUCCAGACUCCUACGGGAGGCAGCAGUGGGGAAUAUUGGGCAAUGGGCGCAAGCCUGACCCAGCAACGCCGCGUGAGGGAAGAAGGCUUUCGGGUUGUAAACCUCUGUCCUUGGUGACGAAACAAAUGACGGUAGCCAAGGAGGAAGCCCCGGCUAACUACGUGCCAGCAGCCGCAGUAA
Molecule: ribosomal RNA, 481 nt
Filed under: uncultured bacterium
Lineage: Bacteria
Description: partial 16S ribosomal RNA
Rfam family: Bacterial small subunit ribosomal RNA
Source: RNAcentral